RNAcentral lists this transfer RNA (26 nucleotides) under Clarias batrachus (walking catfish). RNAcentral's name for it is "partial tRNA-Thr". Lineage: Eukaryota; Metazoa; Chordata; Actinopteri; Siluriformes; Clariidae. The record is from RNAcentral.
GCCCUAGUAGCUUAGCCACUAAAGCC